UACGUAGGCGGCAAGCGUUGUCCGGAAUUAUUGGGCGUAAAGGGAGCGCAGGUGGGACGGUAAGUCCGUCUUAAAAGGCAGGGGCUCAGCCCCUGUAAGGGAUGGAAACUAUCGAUCUUGAGUGCCGGAGAGGAAAGCGGAAUUCCCAGUGUAGCGGUGAAAUGCGUAGAUAUUGGGAAGAACACCAGUGGCGAAGGCGGCUUUCUGGACGGCAACUGACACUGAGGCUCGAAAGCCAGGGGAGCGAACGGG
RNAcentral lists this ribosomal RNA (252 nucleotides) under uncultured bacterium. RNAcentral describes it as "partial 16S ribosomal RNA". It matches the Rfam family "Bacterial small subunit ribosomal RNA", at positions 524 to 776 of the family's 1533-position model. The record is from RNAcentral.